AAGCAAACUGGAUCUAUCGCUGCUCGCAAGAGGAGAGGAAAGUCCGGGCAACAUAGAGCAUCUCGCUUCCUAACGGGAAGGGUUCGUUUGACGAAAACAGCAAGUGCCACAGAAAAUAUACCGCCUUCCUCGGGAGGUAAGGGUGAAAACGUGAGGUAAGAGCUCACGGUAUUGUAUGGUAACAUGCAUUACGGUAAACCUCGAGAGUUGAAAGACCAAAUAGGUUACGGACAUGGAAGCUGCUCGCUUUCUUUUAGGAGUUCUCUUAAAAUCCGUAAUGGGUAGGUUGAUGGAGCUUAUUAGUGAUGAUAAGCCUAGAUAAAUGAUAGAUACUUUGCCUCGGCAAUUUACAGAACCCGGCUUAUAAGGUUUGCUUCUUU
RNAcentral lists this RNase P RNA (380 nucleotides) under Rhinopithecimicrobium faecis. RNAcentral's name for it is "Sphingobacteriaceae bacterium WQ 2009 Bacterial RNase P class A". It matches the Rfam family "Bacterial RNase P class A". Rfam says of the family: Ribonuclease P (RNase P) is a ubiquitous endoribonuclease, found in archaea, bacteria and eukarya as well as chloroplasts and mitochondria. Its best characterised activity is the generation of mature 5'-ends of tRNAs by cleaving the 5'-leader elements of precursor-tRNAs. Lineage: Bacteria; Pseudomonadati; Bacteroidota; Sphingobacteriia; Sphingobacteriales; Sphingobacteriaceae. The record is from Rfam by way of RNAcentral.